GUCGUAACAAGGUCUCCGUAGGUGAACCUGCGGAGGGAUCAUUACACAAAUAUGAAGGCGGGCUGGAACCUCUCGGGGUUACAGCCUUGCUGAAUUAUUCACCCUUGUCUUUUGCGUACUUCUUGUUUCCUUGGUGGGUUCGCCCACCACUAGGACAAACAUAAACCUUUUGUAAUUGCAAUCAGCGUCAGUAACAAAUUAAUAAUUACAACUUUCAACAACGGAUCUCUUGGUUCUGGCAUCGAUGAAGAACGCAGCGAAAUGCGAUAAGUAGUGUGAAUUGCAGAAUUCAGUGAAUCAUCGAAUCUUUGAACGCACAUUGCGCCCUUCGGUAUUCCAAAGGGCAUGCCUGUUCGAGCGUCAUUUGUACCCUCAAGCUUUGCUUGGUGUUGGGCGUCUUGUCUCUAGCUUUGCUGGAGACUCGCCUUAAAGUAAUUGGCAGCCGGCCUACUGGUUUCGGAGCGCAGCACAAGUCGCACUCUCUAUCAGCAAAGGUCUAGCAUCCAUUAAGCCUUUUUUUCAACUUUUGACCUCGGAUCAGGUAGGGAUACCCGCUGAACUUAAGCA
RNAcentral lists this ribosomal RNA (567 nucleotides) under uncultured fungus. RNAcentral describes it as "eukaryotic LSU rRNA". The stretch from base 210 to 363 matches the Rfam family "5.8S ribosomal RNA". Lineage: Eukaryota; Fungi. The record is from RNAcentral.